This 422-nucleotide ribosomal RNA is filed under the name Verrucomicrobiota bacterium. RNAcentral's name for it is "Verrucomicrobia bacterium partial 16S ribosomal RNA". It matches the Rfam family "Bacterial small subunit ribosomal RNA", at positions 355 to 776 of the family's 1533-position model. The record is from RNAcentral. Lineage: Bacteria; Pseudomonadati; Verrucomicrobiota.
UGGGGAAUUUUGCACAAUGGGCGCAAGCCUGAUGCAGCGACGCCGCGUGAGGGAUGAAGGCCUUCGGGUUGUAAACCUUUUUCGCUCAUGGUCAAGCCGCAGCUUUGGGUUGUGGUGAGGGUAGUGGGUAAAGAAGCGCCGGCUAACUACGUGCCAGCAGCCGCGGUAAUACGUAGGGCGCGAGCGUUGUCCGGAAUUAUUGGGCGUAAAGGGCUUGUAGGCGGUUGGCCGCGUCUGCCGUGAAAUCCUCUGGCUUAACGGUGGGUUUGCGCCGGGUACGGGCGGGCUAGAGUGCAGUAGGGGAGACUGGAAUUCCCGGUGUAACGGUGGAAUGUGUAGAUAUCGGGAAGAACACCAAUGGCGAAGGCAGGUCUCUGGGCUGUUACUGACGCUGAGAAGCGAAAGCGUGGGGAGCGAACAGG